Molecule: ribosomal RNA, 160 nt
Filed under: uncultured bacterium
Lineage: Bacteria
Description: partial 16S ribosomal RNA
Rfam family: Bacterial small subunit ribosomal RNA
Source: RNAcentral
UAGGGAAUCUUCGGCAAUGGACGAAAGUCUGACCGAGCAACGCCGCGUGAGUGAAGAAGGUUGGCGGAUCGUAAACCUCUGUUGUAAGAGGAGAACAUGGACGUUAGUAACUGAACGUCCCCUGACGGUAUCUAACCAGAAAGCCACGGCUAACUACCCG